CGCCUACGGGACGCAGCAGUGAGGAAUAUUGGUCAAUGGGCGGGAGCCUGAACCAGCCAAGUCGCGUGAGGGAAGACGGUCCUACGGAUUGUAAACCUCUUUUGCCGGGGAGCAACGGGGUCCUUGCGAGGGCCCGAUGAGAGUACCCGGAGAAAAAGCAUCGGCUAACUCCGUGCCAGCAGCCGCGGUAAUACGGAGGAUGCGAGCGUUAUCCGGAUUUAUUGGGUUUAAAGGGUGCGCAGGCGGUCUGUUAAGUCAGCGGUCAAAGCCCGGGGCUCAACCCCGGCCCGCCGUUGAAACUGGCA
Molecule: ribosomal RNA, 305 nt
Filed under: uncultured bacterium
Lineage: Bacteria
Description: bacterial SSU rRNA
Rfam family: Bacterial small subunit ribosomal RNA
Source: RNAcentral